Molecule: long non-coding RNA, 234 nt
Filed under: Nilaparvata lugens (brown planthopper)
Lineage: Eukaryota; Metazoa; Arthropoda; Insecta; Hemiptera; Delphacidae
Description: uncharacterized LOC120349897
Source: RNAcentral
GGAAUUAAAACAUUGGAUUGUUGCCACGAGGUCCUAUACCAAUAUUAAAUUUAUUAAGGAAGGAAAGCUGCACUGAACUCGUCUAACGUCCUGAAUUCGUGAUUAUGGAUCUGGAAGAACAUCAGAGGUUCACCGCUUAACAAACUGGAUAAUCGAAGACGCCAAAAAUUCCAAGAGGAUUCUUGGCGGUGAUUGAAGAGAUCUGGGCGUUGGACUCCAUCGCGCCCCCCUCAG